This 253-nucleotide ribosomal RNA is filed under the name uncultured bacterium. Its description in RNAcentral is "partial 16S ribosomal RNA". It matches the Rfam family "Bacterial small subunit ribosomal RNA", at positions 524 to 776 of the family's 1533-position model. The record is from RNAcentral.
UACGGGGGGAGCAAGCGUUGUUCGGAUUUACUGGGCGUAAAGGGCUCGUAGGCGGCCAACUAAGUCAGACGUGAAAUCCCUCGGCUUAACCGGGGAACUGCGUCUGAUACUGGAUGGCUUGAGUUCGGGAGAGGGAUGCGGAAUUCCAGGUGUAGCGGUGAAAUGCGUAGAUAUCUGGAGGAACACCGGUGGCGAAGGCGGCAUCCUGGACCGACACUGACGCUGAGGAGCGAAAGCCAGGGGAGCAAACGGG